UCCUACGGGACGCAGCAGUAAGGAAUAUUGGUCAAUGGGAGAGAUCCUGAACCAGCCAAGCCGCGUGAGGGAAGACGGCCCUAUGGGUUGUAAACCUCUUUUGUCGGAGAACAAGACCCGGGACGUGUCCCGGACUGCGUGUAUCCGAAGAAAAAGCAUCGGCUAACUCCGUGCCAGCAGCCGCGGUAAUACGGAGGAUGCGAGCGUUAUCCGGAUUUAUUGGGUUUAAAGGGUGCGUAGGCGGACAGUCAAGUCAGCGGUAAAAAUGCGGUGCUCAACGCCGUACAGCCGUUGAAACUGGCAGG
RNAcentral lists this ribosomal RNA (305 nucleotides) under uncultured bacterium. RNAcentral's name for it is "bacterial SSU rRNA". It matches the Rfam family "Bacterial small subunit ribosomal RNA", at positions 337 to 640 of the family's 1533-position model. The record is from RNAcentral.